Molecule: ribosomal RNA, 429 nt
Filed under: uncultured bacterium
Lineage: Bacteria
Description: bacterial SSU rRNA
Rfam family: Bacterial small subunit ribosomal RNA
Source: RNAcentral
UGGGGAAUUUUGGACAAUGGGCGCAAGCCUGAUCCAGCCAUGCCGCGUGCAGGAUGAAGGCCUUCGGGUUGUAAACUGCUUUUGUACGGAACGAAAAGACUCCUUCUAAUAAAGGGGGUCCAUGACGGUACCGUAAGAAUAAGCACCGGCUAACUACGUGCCAGCAGCCGCGGUAAUACGUAGGGUGCGAGCGUUAAUCGGAAUUACUGGGCGUAAAGCGUGCGCAGGCGGUGAUGUAAGACAGAUGUGAAAUCCCCGGGCUCAACCUGGGAACUGCAUUUGUGACUGCAUCGCUGGAGUGCGGCAGAGGGGGAUGGAAUUCCGCGUGUAGCAGUGAAAUGCGUAGAUAUGCGGAGGAACACCGAUGGCGAAGGCAAUCCCCUGGGCCUGCACUGACGCUCAUGCACGAAAGCGUGGGGAGCAAACAGG